RNAcentral lists this ribosomal RNA (722 nucleotides) under uncultured eukaryote. Its description in RNAcentral is "SSU rRNA". It matches the Rfam family "Eukaryotic small subunit ribosomal RNA", at positions 672 to 1426 of the family's 1831-position model. The record is from RNAcentral.
GGUAUCGCCGUUAGUCAUGUGCAGAUAUGGAUAGCUGUUUUAGCCGUCUUUAUUGACUGGUUUAUAAGAGUUAUCAGAUAUCACUUUGAUUAAAUUAGAGUGCUUAAAGCAAGUGUGUUACUUGGAUAUAAAUGCAUGGAAUGAUGGAAUAUGUUGUUAUUCUAUUUGUUGGUUUUUGAAUGAUAAAAUGAUUGAAAGGAACUGUUGGGGGCAUUCGUAUUGUUGUGAGAGAGGUGAAAUUCUUAGACCACAGCAAGACGAACUACUGCGAAAGCAUUUGCCAAGAAUGUUUUCAUUGAUCAAGAACGAAAGUUAGAGGUUCGAAGGCGAUCAGAUACCGCCCUAGUUCUAACCAUAAACUAUGCCAACUAGCAAUUUGCUUUGUAUUUUUUAUGACUAAGUGAGAGGCCACGGGAAACCUAAGUAGGGUUAUGGGGGAAGUAUGGUUGCAAAGCUGAAACUUAAAGGAAUUGACGGAAGGGCACCACCAGGAGUGGAGCCUGCGGCUUAAUUUGACUCAACACGGGAAAACUUACCUGGUCCUGACACUAGAAGGAUUGACAGAUUGAUAGCUCUUUCUUGAUUUGGUGGAUGGUGGUGCAUGGCCGUUCUUAGUUGGUGGAGUGAUUUGUCUGGUUAAUUCCGAUAACGAACGAGACUCUAGCCUAUUAAAUAAUACACAGAAUUUUAUCUUCCGCGGUAUUUCUUAGUGGGAUCAAGCG